This 85-nucleotide transfer RNA is filed under the name Felis catus (domestic cat). It matches the Rfam family "tRNA". From Rfam's summary of the family: Transfer RNA (tRNA) molecules are approximately 80 nucleotides in length. Their secondary structure includes four short double-helical elements and three loops (D, anti-codon, and T loops). Lineage: Eukaryota; Metazoa; Chordata; Mammalia; Carnivora; Felidae. The record is from Rfam by way of RNAcentral.
GCCUGGGUGGCUCAGUCAGUUAAGCAUCUGACUUCGGCUCAGGUCAUGAUCUUGCAGUUCAUGGGUUCAAGUCCCACCUCAGGCU